GACGAACGCUGGCGGCGUGCUUAACACAUGCAAGUCGAACGGUAAGGCUCCAGCUUGCUGGGGUACACGAGUGGCGAACGGGUGAGUAACACGUGGGUGACCUGCCCUGCACUUCGGGAUAAGCCUGGGAAACUGGGUCUAAUACCGGAUAGGACCGCACCGUGAGGGUGUGGUGGAAAGUUUUUUCGGUGUGGGAUGGGCCCGCGGCCUAUCAGCUUGUUGGUGGGGUAAUGGCCUACCAAGGCGGCGACGGGUAGCCGGCCUGAGAGGGUGGACGGCCACAUUGGGACUGAGACACGGCCCAGACUCCUACGGGAGGCAGCAGUGGGGAAUAUUGCACAAUGGGCGGAAGCCUGAUGCAGCGACGCCGCGUGGGGGAUGACGGCCUUCGGGUUGUAAACUCCUUUCACCAUCGACGAAGGGUUUCUGACGGUAGAUGGAGAAGAAGCACCGGCUAACUACGUGCCAGCAGCCGCGGUAAUACGUAGGGUGCGAGCGUUGUCCGGAAUUACUGGGCGUAAAGAGCUCGUAGGUGGUUUGUCGCGUCGUCUAUGAAAUUCCGGGGCUUAACUCCGGGCGUGCAGGCGAUACGGGCAUAACUUGAGUACUGUAGGGGAGACUGGAAUUCCUGGUGUAGCGGUGAAAUGCGCAGAUAUCAGGAGGAACACCGGUGGCGAAGGCGGGUCUCUGGGCAGUAACUGACGCUGAGGAGCGAAAGCAUGGGGAGCGAACAGGAUUAGAUACCCUGGUAGUCCAUGCCGUAAACGGUGGGCGCUAGGUGUGGGUUUCCUUCCACGGGAUCCGUGCCGUAGCUAACGCAUUAAGCGCCCCGCCUGGGGAGUACGGCCGCAAGGCUAAAACUCAAAGGAAUUGACGGGGGCCCGCACAAGCGGCGGAGCAUGUGGAUUAAUUCGAUGCAACGCGAAGAACCUUACCUGGGCUUGACAUAUACAGGAUCGCGCCAGAGAUGGUGUUUCCCUUGUGGCUUGUAUACAGGUGGUGCAUGGUUGUCGUCAGCUCGUGUCGUGAGAUGUUGGGUUAAGUCCCGCAACGAGCGCAACCCUUGUCUUAUGUUGCCAGCACGUUGUGGUGGGGACUCGUAAGAAACUGCCGGGGUUAACUCGGAGGAAGGUGGGGAUGACGUCAAAUCGUCAUGCCCCUUAUGUCCAGGGCUUCACACAUGCUACAAUGGUCGGUACAGUGGGUUGCCAGUCCGUGAGGGCGAGCUAAUCCCGCAAAGCCGGUCUCAGUUCGGAUCGGGGUCUGCAACUCGACCCCGUGAAGUCGGAGUCGCUAGUAAUCGCAGAUCAGCAACGCUGCGGUGAAUACGUUCCCGGGCCU
This 1341-nucleotide ribosomal RNA is filed under the name uncultured bacterium. Its description in RNAcentral is "16S ribosomal RNA". It matches the Rfam family "Bacterial small subunit ribosomal RNA", at positions 28 to 1381 of the family's 1533-position model. The record is from RNAcentral.